Molecule: ribosomal RNA, 497 nt
Filed under: uncultured bacterium
Lineage: Bacteria
Description: partial 16S ribosomal RNA
Rfam family: Bacterial small subunit ribosomal RNA
Source: RNAcentral
GAUGAACGCUGGCGGCGUGCCUAAUACAUGCAAGUCGAGCGAACAGACGAGGAGCUUGCUCCUCUGACGUUAGCGGCGGACGGGUGAGUAACACGUGGAUAACCUACCUAUAAGACUGGGAUAACUUCGGGAAACCGGAUCUAAUACCGGAUAAUAUAUUGAACCGCAUUGUUCAAUAGUGAAAGACGGUUUUGCUGUCACUUAUAGAUGGAUCCGCGCCGCAUUAGCUAGUUGGUAAGGUAACGGCUUACCAAGGCAACGAUGCGUAGCCGACCUGAGAGGGGGAUCGGCCACACUGGAACUGAGAAACGGUCCAGACUCCUACGGGAGGCAGCAGUAGGGAAUCUUGCGCAAUGGGCGAAAGCCUGACGGAGCAACGCCGCGUGAGUGAUGAAGGUCUUCGGAUCGUAAAACUCUGUUAUUAGGGAAGAACAAAUGUGUAAGUAACUAUGCACGUCUUGACGGUACCUAAUCAGAAAGCCACGGCUAACUACGUG